Molecule: long non-coding RNA, 711 nt
Filed under: Spirodela polyrhiza (greater duckweed)
Lineage: Eukaryota; Viridiplantae; Streptophyta; Magnoliopsida; Alismatales; Araceae
Description: long non-coding RNA (SPOL_LNC000396)
Source: RNAcentral
UGGCGCCAUAUCGAUUAUCCAAACGCAAAAGGAGCAGUGUAUUACUCCAUCGCCGUUCGUUCGCGCAGCCAUCUCCAUUGUCAUGGCUUCCAAACUCAGCGUCAUCGCCGCAGUCCUCUUGCUGAACCUUCUCUUGGCAACCUCGGUUUCUGCGCAGGGGGAAAGACCAUGGUGGUUUCCUCGCCCUCGUCCGCCACCUCCGCCCCUCCGUCGCCACCACCUCCUUCUCCGUCGCCACCACCUCCUUCUCCGUCGCCACCGCCUCCUUCUCCGUCGCCACCGCCUCCUUCUCCGUCACCGCCGCCUCCUUCUCCGUCGCCACCGCCUCCUUCUCCGUCGCCACCGCCUCCUUCUCCGUCGCCACCGCCUCCUUCUCCGUCACCGCCGCCUCCUUCUCCGUCACCGCCGCCUCCUUCACCGUCGCCACCACCACCCUCUCCAUCGCCACCACCACCCUCUCCAUCGCCACCACCUCCUUCUCCGUCACCACCGCCUCCUUCUCCGUCGCCACCGCCUCCUUCUCCGCCACCACCGCCUCCUUCUCCGUCGCCACCCCCCCCACCGAGGUCCUGCCCCAUUUUCGCUUUCAGAUUGGCCGUGUGUGCUCCCGUCGUCAACCGUCUCAGGCUCGGGUUUCGAGCCUCUCAGUUUCCGUGCUGCAGGGUGAUCAACAGUCUCUCCGAUCAACAGGCCACCGCAUGCCUAUGUCUU